This is a long non-coding RNA of Chiroxiphia lanceolata (lance-tailed manakin), 1043 nucleotides long. RefSeq lists it as uncharacterized. Lineage: Eukaryota; Metazoa; Chordata; Aves; Passeriformes; Pipridae. The record is from RefSeq and is a predicted model, not a curated record. The transcript is spliced from 2 exons.
CUGUCCGCCCGCUGCUUGCGCGCAGGCUCCUGACGGGCACCGGCCGCGCUGGAAAUGUCUGGUUCGGAUAGCCACCUUCUGUCCUUGGAAAUGCCAAACGUGGUUUAAUGGCAAUCCUGGCCCAUCUCAUCAAUGCAGUGUUGAGAAGAUGAACCUCAAAGAAGAAAUAGUAGUGAAGGUGGUAGAGCCAGAAGAAAGCUCUGAGGACUGGUUGUGGUUUCACCUAUCAAGAACUGCCUUUUCUAGGGACAUCAGGCAGUAGUUCUUCUGGGAAAGUAAAGCCAAAACAAAGGCAGGUCUCAGGCAGACCAAAUGAAAUAACUGAAGAGGACCUACUGCAGAUUCAGCAGACCCAGAUGCAGGUGAUCAGUCUGGCUUUGACAGCGUCAACCACAAUCUUCGGCUGCUGCAGCAAGGCAUGCAGGAUCUGAGUAACAGCAUCAGCAUCAUGGCGCAUACGCUUGUUGCUAUCAAAAACGUCUAUGUGAAAAACACACUGGCCCAACCACACAUGCCACGCCUCUACUCAGACCACAGCUGGGUACCUGAGCCCAGGUUCCCCCCAGAUCUCCCCUCCUGAGGACAGAGGUAGAGUGCAGGUGGCUGGAAGCAGCAGCAGAAGCAGCAGCAGCAGCUCCAGCUCCAUGGCACAAGAACCAGGUCCCUCCGAGUUUUCUAGGCCCUCUGUGAGAACCAUAAGAAAGAACAUCCAAUGGCUGCUACUACUUCUGCUUUGCAGAUGUGUAAAAACUUGAAUAUAUGUAAAGUGACUGUGGUGUUAGGUGCUGUUUGUAUGUUCUGCUCCGGCCUGUGACUGAAGGAGCAAAGUGGACUUGCUCCUGUGUUUUUCCCAGUGGGAAACAUUUUUGCUAUAGGGUGGCAUUAAACACUAAUUACCAGUCUCCCGUUUGUUAACUCUGUUGCAGUUGGCUAAUAAUUUUCUUCUGUUUUCUUUAUCCUCUUAAAAAAUCAAACAUUUGAGUAAGACUUUUGUCUGUAUCAUCCUUUGUUUCAUGUCACCUUUUGAAAACUAAAAGGCAUGA